AAACUUUCAGCAACGGAUCUCUUGGUUCUGGCAUCGAUGAAGAACGCAGCGAAAUGCGAUAAGUAAUGUGAAUUGCAGAAUUCAGUGAAUCAUCGAAUCUUUGAACGCACAUUGCGCCCCCUAGUAUUCUGGGGGGCAUGCCUGUUCGAGCGUCAUUU
RNAcentral lists this ribosomal RNA (158 nucleotides) under Neophaeoappendicospora leucaenae. RNAcentral describes it as "5.8S ribosomal RNA". It matches the Rfam family "5.8S ribosomal RNA". From Rfam's summary of the family: 5.8S ribosomal RNA (5.8S rRNA) is a component of the large subunit of the eukaryotic ribosome. It is transcribed by RNA polymerase I as part of the 45S precursor that also contains 18S and 28S rRNA. Functionally, it is thought that 5.8S rRNA may be involved in ribosome translocation. The record is from RNAcentral. Lineage: Eukaryota; Fungi; Ascomycota; Sordariomycetes; Diaporthales.